RNAcentral lists this ribosomal RNA (492 nucleotides) under uncultured bacterium. Its description in RNAcentral is "partial 16S ribosomal RNA". It matches the Rfam family "Bacterial small subunit ribosomal RNA", at positions 30 to 507 of the family's 1533-position model. The record is from RNAcentral.
AUUGAACGCUGGCGGCAUGCUUUACACAUGCAAGUCGAACGGUAACAGGCCUUCGGGUGCUGACGAGUGGCGAACGGGUGAGUAAUGCAUCGGAACGUGCCCAGAGGUGGGGGAUAACGCAGCGAAAGCUGUGCUAAUACCGCAUGUGAUCUGAGGAUGAAAGCGGGGGACCAGGCAGCAAUGUUUGGCCUCGCGCCUUUGGAGCGGCCGAUGUCAGAUUAGGUAGUUGGUGGGGUAAAGGCCUACCAAGCCGACGAUCUGUAGCUGGUCUGAGAGGACGACCAGCCACACUGGGACUGAGACACGGCCCAGACUCCUACGGGAGGCCGCAGUGGGGAAUUUUGGACAAUGGGCGCAAGCCUGAUCCAGCAAUGCCGCGUGCGGGAAGAAGGCCUUCGGGUUGUAAACCGCUUUUGUACGGAACGAAAAGGCUCUAGCUAAUACCUGGGGCUGAUGACGGUACCGUAAGAAUAAGCACCGGCUAACUACGUG